AUUGAACGCUGGCGGCAUGCCUUACACAUGCAAGUCGAACGGCAGCACGGGUGCUUGCACCUGGUGGCGAGUGGCGAACGGGUGAGUAAUACAUCGGUACAUUUCCUGUAGUGUUGGAUAGCCCGCCGAAAGCCGGAGUAAUACCGCAUACGAUCUACCUAUGACAUCGUGGGAGCUGCGAGCCUCGCGCUGUUGGGUUUGCAGAUGCCUGAUUAGCUAGUUGGUGGGGUAAAGGCCUACCAAGGCGACGAUCAGUAGCUGGUCUGAGAGGACGACCAGCCACCUGGGGACGGGGCCGCGGCCAAGGCUACUGAGGGAGGCACCAGUGGGGAAUUUUGGGCAACGGGGGAAAGCAUGAUCCAGCAAUGCCGCGUGUGUGAAGAAGGCCUUCGGGUUGUAAAGAACUUUUGUCCGGAAAGAAAUCCUUGGCCCUAAUACGGUCGGGGGAUGACGGUACCGGAAGAAUAAGCACCGGCUAACUACGUG
Molecule: ribosomal RNA, 486 nt
Filed under: uncultured bacterium
Lineage: Bacteria
Description: partial 16S ribosomal RNA
Rfam family: Bacterial small subunit ribosomal RNA
Source: RNAcentral